CAGAGAGGUUGAUGGACUUGCCCAAAGAUACCCAGCCUGGCACGGAGCUGGUCUCACCCUUGCAAAGCCGUACAGCCUGGUUACCGGGAUGAUAAGCGGCGCUUCACCGUGAUCCCUGCCAGCCAGAUAGGAGGUUCUACUGCUUCUACUUAAUGCAUGGAGAUAACGGCCAGGGACUUCUCCCUGGACAACUUGUCAAAAUCUGCAUGGCCUUGCCAAACCGUGGAUUUAUCCUUCCAGAAGUGUGGAGGGCAUUUGGAACUCACGUGACUUUCCAGAGGAAACGCAGCGCAGUACCAUGAUCUCUUUCAUCUUCUAUCAUCUCGCACAUCAAAACCCCCCCUCCACUCAUCAAGGGACUCUUGCAUAGCUGUAUUCUUGCACUUCCUGUGGGACUAGUCUAUAGAAAGGAGUUUGGUUCCAACACCAUCUGUUAACUAUUCCUAUUGGCAAGAAAAUGGGGCCCAC
Long non-coding RNA from Dama dama (fallow deer), 468 nucleotides. RefSeq lists it as uncharacterized. NCBI's taxonomy places the organism in Eukaryota, Metazoa, Chordata, Mammalia, Artiodactyla, Cervidae. The record is from RefSeq and is a predicted model, not a curated record. The transcript has 4 exons.